RNAcentral lists this ribosomal RNA (492 nucleotides) under uncultured bacterium. Its description in RNAcentral is "partial 16S ribosomal RNA". It matches the Rfam family "Bacterial small subunit ribosomal RNA", at positions 29 to 507 of the family's 1533-position model. The record is from RNAcentral.
AGUGAACGCUGGCGGUAUGCCUAACACAUGCAAGUCGAACGGCAGCACAGUAAGAGCUUGCUCUUACGGGUGGCGAGUGGCGGACGGGUGAGGAAUACAUCGUAAUCUACUUUUUCGUGGGGGAUAACGUAGGGAAACUUACUCUAAUACCGCAUACGACCUACGGUUGAAAGCGGUGGAUCUUCGCAGCGUGCGCGAUUGAAUUAGCCGAUGUCGGAUUAGUUAGUUGGCGGGGUAAAGGCCCACCAAGGCGACGAUCCGUAGCUGGUCUGAGAGGAUGAUCAGCCACACUGGAACUGAGACACGGUCCAGACUCCUACGGGAGGCAGCAGUGGGGAAUAUUGGACAAUGGGCGCAAGCCUGAUCCAGCCAUACCGCGUGGGUGAAGAAGGCCUUCGGGUUGUAAAGCCCUUUUGUUGGGAAAGAAAAGCAGCAGGUUAAUACCCCGCUGUUCUGACGGUACCCAAAGAAUAAGCACCGGCUAACUUCGUG